RNAcentral lists this long non-coding RNA (1468 nucleotides) under Canis lupus familiaris (dog). RNAcentral's name for it is "lncRNA (ENSCAFG00030026071.1)". Lineage: Eukaryota; Metazoa; Chordata; Mammalia; Carnivora; Canidae. The record is from RNAcentral.
AUAUAUGCCUAUUGGAGCAUAGAGGCUACUAAAACACAUAGGAGUUGGUAAGUCUUCACCUUCUGAUUCUUUUGGAGGGUGAUGAAGUCAUUAGGCUAAGUUUAUUGAUCAUGUUAAAUAAGAUGGGAAACUUCAUUUAUUUAACAUUUUUCUUAAUGAAAUGUACCAUUGAUAUCCUUUAUUAUUAUUUCAGUGUGAUAAGGUCUAAAAAAUUCCUAGUCAUACAGUAAAUUAUUGAUUUAAAAUGGCAUCAAAUAAUCAGAAGGAAAGAGGAGGAAAAUUUGGAUUAACAGAAGCUAAUAUUAAGGAAUAUGGGAUUUCUAAGAGUUAGUAAGCUUAUUAUAAGUCAAGAGUCAAAGUAGAAAUUCCACCUAACCUGGAAUUAGCAAUUUUCCUUCUCCCUGGAAUAUUCAAGGAUGGGCAAAGUAGGAGCUUGGAGGAGGUAUUAUAAAGAAUACGUAAAUCUUUUAUAAAUGGUUGGCUAUAAUUAAUCCUUCAUGUAUUAUAAAAUGAUGAAACUGUCAACAAACAGUAAAGCAUAAAUGCUUUAUCAUUUUACCUUCUUUUAAACAUUUCUCUUAAAAAACUGAAAACAUAACCAAAAGUUAGAAAAAACAAUCAUGUAGCCGAUAUGUAAGUUCCUACCAAGUUUAACAACCUAAAUUCUUAAUAGAAGUUAAAGUGAAAUAUUUGCACAGCAAUUGUCUCAAUUCUCAUCCAUUGUCUCUUUCCUUUUGUUUGUAGGCCCCAGAACAAUACCCUCCUUCUUCUUAGCCAUCAUUUUGAAUAUUAGUAACCCUAGGACAUGAUUAUGGCGGCUUGGUGGAAAGUCCUAUUUGCUUUCUUACUCAAAAUGAUUCUUCCUAAAGAAAAAUCCUUUAAUCAUCUAGUAACACUUAUUAGCCCCAAUACACCACAUACACCCAAAGUAUUUGUAAAAUUAUGUUUUGGAAUUUAAUUUUUUAAAUUGCAUUAUAUUAUGCGUUAUAUCACAAUUUAAAAAUAAUUGGAUCCAUCAUAAUUUCUAGAUUUUCCGUAAGAAAAAAGAAAUCUAAUCAAAUAAUGUUACAUGGACAACACACACCAGAGAUUAAUGAUCAAUAUUUUGAAAAUAGUAAUAGUAGUCUCUGAACUAUUGGAAAAUCUCCUUUUCUCCUCUGUGUUAAUAACAUCAUAAAAAUGUUUAAAAACCUUAUGCAUAAUAAACUGAUUAUCAAGCAUAUACAAGUUCUCCCAUUGUAUUUGUUUCUGGGGUAGCCAUUACAGAUUAUCAAAACUGGUGGCUAAAAUCAACAGAAAUGUAUGCUCUCACGGUUCUGUUGGCAGAGGCUUGCUCUUUCUGACAGUUCUAGGGUUCAAGCUUCACCUCUACCUAGUUUCUAGCAAUUUAUUGGCAAUCCUGGAAUUCCCUGGUUUGUAAAUGUGUUAUUUCAAUCUCUGCCUCUCUUGUCUGCAAGCAAUCUUCUCC